GGGGGGCCUACGGGAGGCAGCAGUGGGGAAUAUUGCACAAUGGGGGAAACCCCGAUGCAGCAACGCCGCGUGAAGGAUGAAGGUUUUCGGAUUGUAAACUUCUUUAGUCAGGGACGAAAAAAAUGACGGUACCUGAAGAAUAAGCCACGGCUAACUACGUGCCAGCAGCCGCGGUAAUACGUAGGUGGCGAGCGUUGUCCGGAAUUACUGGGUGUAAAGGGCGUGUAGGCGGGAAUGUAAGUCAGAUGUGAAAUCCCAGGGCUUAACUCUGGAGCUGCAUCUGAAACUAUGUUUCUUGAGUGCCGGAGAGGAAAGCGGAAUUCCUAGUGUAGCGGUGAAAUGCGUAGAUAUUAGGAGGAACACCAGUGGCGAAGGCGGCUUUCUGGACGGUAACUGACGCUGAGGCGCGAAAGCGUGGGGAGCAAACAGGAUUAGAUACCCUGGUAGUCCACGCCGUAAACGAUGGAUACUAGGUGUA
RNAcentral lists this ribosomal RNA (478 nucleotides) under uncultured Clostridium sp. RNAcentral's name for it is "bacterial SSU rRNA". It matches the Rfam family "Bacterial small subunit ribosomal RNA", at positions 332 to 824 of the family's 1533-position model. The record is from RNAcentral. Lineage: Bacteria; Bacillati; Bacillota; Clostridia; Eubacteriales; Clostridiaceae.